GACGGAGGGGGCUAGCGUUGUUCGGAAUUACUGGGCGUAAAGAGUGCGUAGGCGGUUUGGUAAGUUGGAAGUGAAAGCCCGAGGCUUAACCUCGGAACUGCUUUCAAAACUACUAAUCUAGAGUGUAGUAGGGGAUGAUGGAAUUCCUAGUGUAGAGGUGAAAUUCUUAGAUAUUAGGAGGAACACCGGUGGCGAAGGCGGUCAUCUAGGCUACAACUGACGCUGAGGCACGAAAGCGUGGGGAGCAAACAGG
This 253-nucleotide ribosomal RNA is filed under the name uncultured bacterium. Its description in RNAcentral is "partial 16S ribosomal RNA". It matches the Rfam family "Bacterial small subunit ribosomal RNA", at positions 524 to 776 of the family's 1533-position model. The record is from RNAcentral.